UCCCAGACUCCUACGGGAGGCAGCAGUGGGGAAUAUUGCACAAUGGGGGAAACCCUGAUGCAGCGACGCCGCGUGAGCGAUGAAGUAUUUCGGUAUGUAAAGCUCUAUCAGCAGGGAAGAAAAUGACGGUACCUGACUAAGAAGCCCCGGCUAACUACGUGCCAGCAGCCGCGGUAAUACGUAGGGGGCGAGCGUUAUCCGGAUUUACUGGGUGUAAAGGGAGCGUAGACGGCGUCGCAAGUCUGAAGUGAAAGCUCGUGGCUCAACCGCGGAACCGCUUUGGAAACUGUGAGGCUGGAGUGCUGGAGAGGUAAGCGGAAUUCCUGGUGUAGCGGUGAAAUGCGUAGAUAUCAGGAGGAACACCGGUGGCGAAGGCGGCUUACUGGACAGUAACUGACGUUGAGGCUCGAAAGCGUGGGGAGCAAACAGGAUUAGAUACCCCUGUA
RNAcentral lists this ribosomal RNA (446 nucleotides) under uncultured bacterium. RNAcentral's name for it is "bacterial SSU rRNA". It matches the Rfam family "Bacterial small subunit ribosomal RNA", at positions 329 to 792 of the family's 1533-position model. The record is from RNAcentral.